Molecule: ribosomal RNA, 450 nt
Filed under: uncultured bacterium
Lineage: Bacteria
Description: partial 16S ribosomal RNA
Rfam family: Bacterial small subunit ribosomal RNA
Source: RNAcentral
GUGGGGAAUAUUGGACAAUGGGCGCAAGCCUGAUCCAGCCAUACCGCGUGGGUGAAGAAGGCCUUCGGGUUGUAAAGCCCUUUUGUUGGGAAAGAAAUCCUGUCGGUUAAUACCUGGCGGGGAUGACGGUACCCAAAGAAUAAGCACCGGCUAACUUCGUGCCAGCAGCCGCGGUAAUACGAAGGGUGCAAGCGUUACUCGGAAUUACUGGGCGUAAAGCGUGCGUAGGUGGUGGUUUAAGUCCGUUGUGAAAGCCCUGGGCUCAACCUGGGAAUUGCAGUGGAUACUGGAUCACUAGAGUGUGGUAGAGGGAUGCGGAAUUUCUGGUGUAGCAGUGAAAUGCGUAGAGAUCAGAAGGAACAUCCGUGGCGAAGGCGGCAUCCUGGGCCAACACUGACACUGAGGCACGAAAGCGUGGGGAGCAAACAGGAUUAGAUACCCCAGUAGUCC